This 71-nucleotide transfer RNA is filed under the name Candidatus Woesearchaeota archaeon. RNAcentral describes it as "tRNA-Gly". It matches the Rfam family "tRNA". Rfam says of the family: Transfer RNA (tRNA) molecules are approximately 80 nucleotides in length. Their secondary structure includes four short double-helical elements and three loops (D, anti-codon, and T loops). The record is from RNAcentral. Lineage: Archaea; Nanobdellati; Candidatus Woesearchaeota.
GCGCCGGUGGUCUAAUGGCAUGACAACGGCCUUCCAAGCCGUUUAUCCGGGUUCGAAUCCCGGCCGGCGCA